Molecule: ribosomal RNA, 253 nt
Filed under: uncultured bacterium
Lineage: Bacteria
Description: partial 16S ribosomal RNA
Rfam family: Bacterial small subunit ribosomal RNA
Source: RNAcentral
UACGAAGGGGGCAAGCGUUGUCCGGAUUUACUGGGCGUAAAGAGCGCGCAGGCGGCUGGUCAAGUCCGAUGUGAAAUCUCCCGGCUUAACUGGGAAACUGCAUCGGAAACUGAUCGGCUUGAAGGUGGGAGAGGGUAGUGGAAUUCCCGGUGUAGUGGUGAAAUGCGUAGAUAUCGGGAGGAACACCAGUGGCGCAAGCGGCGAACUGGCCGAGACCUGACGCUGAGACGCGAAAGCGUGGGGAGCAAACAGG